GACGAACGCUGGCGGCGUGCUUAACACAUGCAAGUCGAACGGUAAGGCCCUUCGGGGUACACGAGUGGCGAACGGGUGAGUAACACGUGGGUGAUCUGCCCUGCACUUCGGGAUAAGCCUGGGAAACUGGGUCUAAUACCGGAUAGGACCACUGCCUGCAUGGGUGGUGGUGGAAAGCUUUUGCGGUGUGGGAUGGGCCCGCGGCCUAUCAGCUUGUUGGUGGGGUGAUGGCCUACCAAGGCGACGACGGGUAGCCGGCCGGAGAGGGUGACCGGCCACACUGGGACUGGGAUACGGCCCAGAAUCCUGCGGGAGGCAGCAGUGGGGAAUAGCGCGUAAUGGGCGCAAGCCUGAUGCAGCGACGCCGCGUGGGGGAUGCCGGCCUUCGGGUUGUAAACCUCUUUCAGCACCGACGAAGCGCAAGUGACGGUAGGUGCAGAAGAAGGCCCGGCCAACUACGUGCCAGCCGCCGCCGUAA
RNAcentral lists this ribosomal RNA (478 nucleotides) under uncultured bacterium. Its description in RNAcentral is "partial 16S ribosomal RNA". It matches the Rfam family "Bacterial small subunit ribosomal RNA", at positions 28 to 523 of the family's 1533-position model. The record is from RNAcentral.